RNAcentral lists this long non-coding RNA (253 nucleotides) under Elaeis guineensis (African oil palm). RNAcentral describes it as "long non-coding RNA (EGUI_LNC020259)". The record is from RNAcentral. Lineage: Eukaryota; Viridiplantae; Streptophyta; Magnoliopsida; Arecales; Arecaceae.
CCAGGUACCAAGCGUUACGAAUGAUCAGAGAACCACAUAUUGACGAUGGAUGAUGUUAUGUUCCAUCAGGUAUCAAUAUUUGUCAAUGGUUCGUCUAGGACAGAAGCGAAAUUACAAAACUAAAAUGUAGUAUCGCAAAGGUCGCACGCUAGUUAUCAAAAUCCCAUGCAUUAUGUUCAAAGCUAAGCCUGCAAUAAAUUACAAUGUGCUCCCAUUCAUGUUGCAAUUGCUUGGCCAUAAGAGUGGGGAUUUG